UACAGAGGGUGCAAGCGUUAAUCGGAAUUACUGGGCGUAAAGGGCUCGUAGGCGGCCAACUAAGUCGGAUGUGAAAUCCCCAGGCUUAACCUGGGAACUGCAUCCGAUACUGGAUGGCUUGAAUCCGGGAGAGGGAUGCAGAAUUCCAGGUGUAGCGGUGAAAUGCGUAGAUAUCUGGAGGAAUACCGGUGGCGAAGGCGGCAUCCUGGACCGGCAUUGACGCUGAGUGAGCGAAAGCCAGGGGAGCAAACGGG
Molecule: ribosomal RNA, 254 nt
Filed under: uncultured bacterium
Lineage: Bacteria
Description: partial 16S ribosomal RNA
Rfam family: Bacterial small subunit ribosomal RNA
Source: RNAcentral